RNAcentral lists this ribosomal RNA (429 nucleotides) under Chloroflexota bacterium. RNAcentral describes it as "Chloroflexi bacterium partial 16S ribosomal RNA". It matches the Rfam family "Bacterial small subunit ribosomal RNA", at positions 355 to 776 of the family's 1533-position model. The record is from RNAcentral. Lineage: Bacteria; Bacillati; Chloroflexota.
UGGGGAAUAUUGCACAAUGGGCGCAAGCCUGAUGCAGCCAUGCCGCGUGUAUGAAGAAGGCCUUCGGGUUGUAAAGUACUUUCAGCGGGGAGGUAGGGAGUAAAGUUAAUACCUUUGCUCAUUGACGUUACCCGCAGAAGAAGCACCGGCUAACUCCGUGCCAGCAGCCGCGGUAAUACGGAGGGUGCAAGCGUUAAUCGGAAUUACUGGGCGUAAAGCGCACGCAGGCGGUUUGUUAAGUCAGAUGUGAAAUCCUCGGGCUCAACCUGGGAACUGCAUCUGAUACUGGCAAGCUUGAGUCUCGUAGAGGGGGGUAGAAUUCCAGGUGUAGCGGUGAAAUGCGUAGAGAUCUGGAGGAAUACCGGUGGCGAAGGCGGCCCCCUGGACGAAGACUGACGCUCAGGUGCGAAAGCGUGGGGAGCAAACAGG